This 425-nucleotide ribosomal RNA is filed under the name uncultured bacterium. Its description in RNAcentral is "partial 16S ribosomal RNA". It matches the Rfam family "Bacterial small subunit ribosomal RNA", at positions 354 to 796 of the family's 1533-position model. The record is from RNAcentral.
GUGGGGAAUCUUGCGCAAUGGGCGAAAGCCUGACGCAGCCAUGCCGCGUGAAUGAUGAAGGUCUUAGGAUUGUAAAAUUCUUUCACCGGGGACGAUAAUGACGGUACCCGGAGAAGAAGCCCCGGCUAACUUCGUGCCAGCAGCCGCGGUAAUACGAAGGGGGCUAGCGUUGCUCGGAAUUACUGGGCGUAAAGGGCGCGUAGGCGGACAGUUUAGUCAGAGGUGAAAGCCCAGGGCUCAACCUUGGAAUUGCCUUUGAUACUGGCUGUCUUGAGUACGGGAGAGGUGAGGGGAACUCCGAGUGUAGAGGUGAAAUUCGUAGAUAUUCGGAAGAACACCAGUGGCGAAGGCGACUCACUGGCCCGUUACUGACGCUGAGGCGCGAAAGCGUGGGGAGCAAACAGGAUUAGAAACCCUGGUAGUCC